CCCACACCGGCGCCUCUCCAUGGCAGCGCGCAGCCCGACCCGCCAGCAUCCCCUGCAGGUUGGCCCGGCAGCCGCAGCCACGUCAUCCUUCCCCACGCGCCUCUGAUCUCCUCAUUUGCGCUGCCCCGGGCACCCGGCCCCUUGCCACCAGUCUACCUCCGCAGCCACCAACCAAAGCCGCUCUCCCCGGCCCCCAGCAACCACAGCGAGCUCACUCCGUCCCCUAGCGGCCCUCCGACCUCCCCAUCCACACCGCCGCCAGGCCCCUACACGACGGCGCCGCCGACGACCCAUGGCACGCCUCGAUCGGCUCCCUCUGCUAUGUCGUCGUCCUCUGCUGAGGCGACCAUCAGUCCCCUGCUUUCGACUGGCGCGGUUGCGUCUGUCGCCGGCGCCCCUUCCCCGACGGCGGCCACCGUCGCCCCCUACGCGGGCGUGUCCCUUGACACUGCUGCCGCCGUCGGAAGUCUCC
RNAcentral lists this unclassified non-coding RNA (472 nucleotides) under Zea mays. RNAcentral's name for it is "misc RNA Zm00001eb041530". Lineage: Eukaryota; Viridiplantae; Streptophyta; Magnoliopsida; Poales; Poaceae. The record is from RNAcentral.